Molecule: long non-coding RNA, 223 nt
Organism: Coregonus clupeaformis (lake whitefish)
Lineage: Eukaryota; Metazoa; Chordata; Actinopteri; Salmoniformes; Salmonidae
Exons: 3
Source: RefSeq, a predicted model, not a curated record
AGAUGAGCCUGUUAACCCAAAGGUUUAUGAGAUUAUAGGAAAAACCUUGCCGUUGUUUUUCCUUUUCAGCCUGAUCGUGUUCUUUGCAUGGAGGAGGAGAACAUCUAGACUCUCCAAUGGGUUUGAAAUGACAGACCGUUCAUAGGGACAGAACUCCCCGGUUGGGACGGUGUUCUCUAACCAGGCCACGGUCGGGAGAGGGGACAAGGAACCACCACUUAAC